Molecule: ribosomal RNA, 469 nt
Filed under: uncultured bacterium
Lineage: Bacteria
Description: partial 16S ribosomal RNA
Rfam family: Bacterial small subunit ribosomal RNA
Source: RNAcentral
GACGAACGCUGGCGGCGUGCUUAACACAUGCAAGUCGAACGGAAAGGCCCUGCUUGCAGGGUGCUCGAGUGGCGAACGGGUGAGUAACACGUGGGUGAUCUGCCCCUUACUUUGGGAUAAGCCUGGGAAACUGGGUCUAAUACUGGAUAGGACCAUGCUGUAGGUGGUGUGGUGGAAAGAUUAGUUUCGGUAAGGGAUGAGCUCGCGGCCUAUCAGCUUGUUGGUGGGGUAAUGGCCUACCAAGGCGUCGACGGGUAGCCGGCCUGAGAGGGUGGACGGCCACAUUGGGACUGAGAUACGGCCCAGACUCCUACGGGAGGCAGCAGUGGGGAAUAUUGCACAAUGGGCGCAAGACGGAUGCAGCGACGCCGCGUGGGGGAUGACGGCCUUCGGGUUGUAAACUCCUUUCAGCCAUGACGAAGCGCUGGUGGUGACGGUAGUGGUAGAAGAAGCACCGGCUAACUACGUG